GGCAAAGAAAGAAAAUCAGUUUGAUUCAAUGGCUUCUUCAAGUGGAAUUGGAAAUAAUGAUGAGUUAACUCCUUUACAAAAGCAUGUAAUGUUUUUUGAUAUUAACAAAGAUGGAAUUAUCUAUCCUUGGGAAACAUAUCAAGGUUUUAGAAAAUUGGGACGUAAUGUUUUUCGUUCACUUUUAGCUGCUGUUCUCAUCCAUGUUGUUACAAGUGGCAAGACUCGACCGGGAAAAUGGCCAUCUCCACUAUUUCCAAUAGAGAUUAAAAAUAUAAAAUUUGGCAAACAUGGCAGUGAUUCUGAUGCCUAUGAUUCUGAAGGAAGGUUUGUGCCAGAGAAAUUUGAGGAAAUUUUCAAGAAAUAUGCACAUAACAAUUCAGAGUCCUUAACAUCAGAAGAAGUGAAUGAAUUGCUCAAGAAAAAUAGAGAACCUAAGGACUACUUUGGAUGGCUUAAUGCUAUGACAGAUUGGAGGAUUUUAUUUGAUGUGGGGAAAAAUAAGGAUGGGAUAUUGACUAAAGAAGCAGUAAGAGAUGUUUAUGAUGGAACCCUUUUUGAACAAAAGGCAAGAGAAGUUGCUGCAAAG
This 586-nucleotide unclassified non-coding RNA is filed under the name Hevea brasiliensis (rubber tree). Lineage: Eukaryota; Viridiplantae; Streptophyta; Magnoliopsida; Malpighiales; Euphorbiaceae. The record is from RNAcentral.